GGGACGAACGCUGGCGGCGUGCCUAACACAUGCAAGUCGAACGCGCUCCAUUCGGUAGCAAUACUGAUGAAGAGUGAGUGGCGAACGGGUGAGUAACACAUGAGCAACCUGCCCCGAAGACUGGGACAACACCGGGAAACCGGUGCUAAUACCGGAUAUCCCUAUCGGACCGCAUGAUCUGAUAAGGAAAUGGAUUCCGCUUCGGGAGGGGCUCGUGGCCUAUCAGCUAGUUGGUGAGGUAACGGCUCACCAAGGCAUCGACGGGUAGCUGGUCUGAGAGGACGAUCAGCCACACUGGGACUGAGACACGGCCCAGACUCCUACGGGAGGCAGCAGUGGGGAAUCUUGCGCAAUGGGCGAAAGCCUGACGCAGCAACGCCGCGUGGAGGGCGAAGGCUUUCUGAGUUGUAAACUCCUUUCAGCAGGGACGAUAGUGACGGUACCUGCAGAAGAAGCACCGGCAACUACGUGCCAGCAGCCGG
Molecule: ribosomal RNA, 482 nt
Filed under: uncultured bacterium
Lineage: Bacteria
Description: SSU rRNA
Rfam family: Bacterial small subunit ribosomal RNA
Source: RNAcentral